CCUACGGGUGGCAGCAGUGGGGAAUAUUGGGCAAUGGGCGCAAGCCUGACCCAGCAACGCCGCGUGAAGGAAGAAGGCUUUCGGGUUGUAAACUUCUUUCGACAGGGAAGAGCAGAAGACGGUCCCUUUCGAAUAAGCCACGGCUAACUACGUGCCAGCAGCCGCGGUAAUACGUAGGUGGCAACCGUUGUCCGGAUUUACUGGGUGUAAAGGGCGGGUAGCCGGGCUGACAAGUCAGUUGUGAAAUCCGCGUGCUCAACGCACGAACUGCAUUUGAAACUGUUGGUCUUGAGUAUCGGAGAGGAAGGCGGAAUUCCUGGUGUAGCGGUGAAAUGCGUAGAUAUUAGGAGGAACACCAGUGGCGAAGGCGGCCUGCUGGACGACAACUGACGGUGAGGCGCGAAAGCGUGGGGAGCAAACAGGAUUAGAUACCCUGGUAGUC
This 442-nucleotide ribosomal RNA is filed under the name uncultured bacterium. Its description in RNAcentral is "partial 16S ribosomal RNA". It matches the Rfam family "Bacterial small subunit ribosomal RNA", at positions 338 to 795 of the family's 1533-position model. The record is from RNAcentral.